GGGCUAGUGGCGGAAUGGCAUACGCGCGAGUCUCAAAAACUCGUUCCCGAAAGGGAUUGUGGGUUCGAGUCCCACCUGGCCUAC
Molecule: transfer RNA, 84 nt
Filed under: Streptomyces phage Muntaha
Lineage: Duplodnaviria; Heunggongvirae; Uroviricota; Caudoviricetes; Stanwilliamsviridae
Description: tRNA-Leu
Rfam family: tRNA
About the family: Transfer RNA (tRNA) molecules are approximately 80 nucleotides in length. Their secondary structure includes four short double-helical elements and three loops (D, anti-codon, and T loops).
Source: RNAcentral